AACGAACGCUGGCGGCGUGGAUAAGACAUGCAAGUCGAGCGAGAUUUCCUUUGGUAGCAAUACUGAAGGAAGUCUAGCGGCGAACGGGUGCUUAACACGUGGGCAACCUGCCGAGAAGUGGGGGAUAGCUCGCCGAAAGGCGAAUUAAUACCGCAUGUGAUUAGAGAGGACAUCCUUUCGAAAUUAAAGUCGGGGCAACCUGACGCUUUUUGUGGGGCCCGCGGCCUAUCAGCUAGUUGGUGAGGUAACGGCUCACCAAGGCUUUGACGGGUAGCUGGUCUGAGAGGACGACCAGCCACACUGGGACUGAGACACGGCCCAGACACCUACGGGUGGCAGCAGUCGAGAAUUUUUCUCAAUGGGGGAAACCCUGAAGGAGCGACGCCGCAUGGAGGAUGAAGGUCUUCGGAUUGUAAACUCCUGUCAUUGGGGAACAAGUCGCUUACGUUAACUGCGUGAGCGUUGAUAGUACCCGAAGAGGAAGAGACGGCUAACUCUGUGCCAGCAGCCGCGGUAAUACAGAGGUCUCAAGCGUUGUUCGGAUUCAUUGGGCGUAAAGGGUGCGUAGGCGGCGCGGUAAGUCGGGUGUGAAAUCUCGGAGCUUAACUCCGAAACUGCAUUCGAUACUGCCGUGCUUGAGGACU
Molecule: ribosomal RNA, 644 nt
Filed under: uncultured Verrucomicrobiota bacterium
Lineage: Bacteria; Pseudomonadati; Verrucomicrobiota
Description: bacterial SSU rRNA
Rfam family: Bacterial small subunit ribosomal RNA
Source: RNAcentral